RNAcentral lists this ribosomal RNA (711 nucleotides) under Streptomyces acrimycini. RNAcentral's name for it is "bacterial SSU rRNA". It matches the Rfam family "Bacterial small subunit ribosomal RNA", at positions 53 to 780 of the family's 1533-position model. Lineage: Bacteria; Bacillati; Actinomycetota; Actinomycetes; Kitasatosporales; Streptomycetaceae. The record is from RNAcentral.
UCCUGCAGUCGAACGAUGAACCACUUCGGUGGGGAUUAGUGGCGAACGGGUGAGUAACACGUGGGCAAUCUGCCCUGCACUCUGGGACAAGCCCUGGAAACGGGGUCUAAUACCGGAUACUGAGGUCCGCAGGCAUCUGUGGUUCUCGAAAGCUCCGGCGGUGCAGGAUGAGCCCGCGGCCUAUCAGCUUGUUGGUGAGGUAACGGCUCACCAAGGCGACGACGGGUAGCCGGCCUGAGAGGGCGACCGGCCACACUGGGACUGAGACACGGCCCAGACUCCUACGGGAGGCAGCAGUGGGGAAUAUUGCGCAAUGGGCAAAAAAAUGAUGGGGCGCCCCCCCCUGCGGGAUGACGGCCUUCUAAUUGUGAAGCUCUUUCCCCCCGCAAGAAGCGAAAGUGACGGUACCUGAAGAAGACUCUCCUGCUAACUACGUGCCAGCAGCCGCGGUAAUACGUAGGGCGCGAGCGUUGUCCCGAAUUAUUGGGCGUAAAGAGCUCGUAGGCGGCUUGUCGCGUCGGUUGUGAAAGCCCGGGGCUUACCCCCGGGUCUGCAGUCGAUACGGGCAGGCUAGAGUUCGGUAGGGGAGAUCGGAAUUCCUGGUGUAGCGGUGAAAUGCGCAGAUAUCAGGAGGAACACCGGGUGGCGAAGGCGGAUCUCUGGGCCGAUGCUGACGCUGAGGACCGAAAGCGUGGGGAGCGAACAGGAUUA